UUCACAGAGAGUUGCCUGUGGGUUUCUCUCUCAGAGGAAAGUGGUGGAGGAUUGCGUUAUUAUUCACAAGCGUGCACUGCCACUUUCUGCUGGAGACCUCUCUGUCCCUGCUCCAUUAACAGCACUCUUGGUCACCUGCCUUCCUCUGGCCAAUGGAUGCGUUAAAGAAAAAAUGAUUCAUCCUGACCCCUGUUAAAGACUGUGGUGCUUCCCAGACAGGACAGUCCUCCUGUCGGCAGCUCUGACCAGCUUCCUGAGGGACAGAACCUGUUUCCCUGCAGCCUCUGCCUUGGCCCCAGCUCCAGCCUCGGCCAUGAAUGGGGCCCAGCUGCUCCCUCCCAUGGGACCACCCUGCAAUGAUUUACAGGUGAAGGGGCCUCUGCAGGGUCCACACUCUCAGCUUCCAGGAAGAGCUCCCACUUUGUCUGGCACGCUCUUUUGGCACCAAGUCCAGGACUUAUGACUGUUUCAAGGGCCUUCAUUUAUAUUUGACAUCUAAAAAUUUAUUUUGUUACAUCCAAAUAAUUUUUUUAAAACCUGUAAAACCAAGAUUAAUAAAUGUUUAAUUAAAUGCCUACAAAAUAUAA
This is a long non-coding RNA of Balaenoptera acutorostrata (minke whale), 587 nucleotides long. RefSeq lists it as uncharacterized. NCBI's taxonomy places the organism in Eukaryota, Metazoa, Chordata, Mammalia, Artiodactyla, Balaenopteridae. The transcript is spliced from 2 exons. The record is from RefSeq and is a predicted model, not a curated record.